This 667-nucleotide long non-coding RNA is filed under the name Canis lupus familiaris (dog). RNAcentral describes it as "lncRNA (ENSCAFG00000057133.1)". Lineage: Eukaryota; Metazoa; Chordata; Mammalia; Carnivora; Canidae. The record is from RNAcentral.
AUGCUACCUUCAUACGUGUCACUGGAGUUAACCUCUGAUGCUGUGAUGGCGCAGGAUCUGUCAAUCAUUUACCCCAGCUUCCAGAAGAUCAAUGGGAGUUGGUUUUGCAACAACACAGGGGAAGAAAUUCUUUGGGGACGUAGAACCAGGAAAAGCCGAGUCUUAACCCUGUAAAAGAAGCUAGAAGAGAUUUCAGCCUGCGAUGGAAACACUAUGCUCCGGCCUCCAUGGUUCCUCCGAAGUGGCUUCCUUGUGCCCCUGGUUUCUGCAGGAGUCAGGAGGAUGACCACCCCAGAGGACAGUAAGACUGUUCCCAUGUUGUUUUGUUGUUGUUUGUCAUUUCAUCUGUGCCAGAUAAUUCCCUGAGUGUACUGUGAUCAUCCACUGCAAUGUGUUUCCCCCAUUUUUCUACUGCCUGUGUGCCUCUCUCCCUCCUGGUGGACACGUGAUAUUUUAUUCCUUUGCCAUCCUGGCCCUUUGGAAAGCUUUCUGACCUUCCUCAUUUCAGUGUCACAUCAUUGGUUAGAUGUCUCCAUUAUCAUCCCUGGCAUACGACAGUGUGGUUAUUGUAUGUGACCAUCACAUGGACUUGUUCUGUUCAUCCCAGCUCAUCUUAUUUUUUUUUCCAAAAUCUGCCCCCCCUUUUUUGUAUUGGGUUCUUUCUUGC